This 487-nucleotide ribosomal RNA is filed under the name uncultured bacterium. Its description in RNAcentral is "bacterial SSU rRNA". It matches the Rfam family "Bacterial small subunit ribosomal RNA", at positions 30 to 509 of the family's 1533-position model. The record is from RNAcentral.
AUUGAACGCUGGCGGCAUGCCUUACACAUGCAAGUCGAGCGGCAGCGCGGGAGCAAUCCUGGCGGCGAGCGGCGAACGGGUGAGUAAUGCUUCGGAAUCUGCCCUUCAGUGGGGAAUAACCAGUCGAAAGACUGGCUAAUACCGCAUACGAACUGAGGUUGAAAGCAGGGGAUCGCAAGACCUUGCGCUGAUGGAUGAGCCGAAGUCGGAUUAGCUUGUUGGUGGGGUAAUGGCCUACCAAGGCGACGAUCCGUAGCUGGUCUGAGAGGACGACCAGCCACACUGGGACUGAGACACGGCCCAGACUCCUACGGGAGGCAGCAGUGGGGAAUAUUGGACAAUGGGGGCGAACCCUGAUCCAGCGACGCCGCGUGUGUGAAGAAGGCCUGCGGGUUGUAAAGCACUUUUAGUGGGGAGGAAGGGUCUGCGACCUAACACGUCGUGGAAUUGACUUAACCCACAGAAAAGCACCGGCUAACUCUGUGCC